AACGUAGGUUCCGAGCGUUAUCCGGAUUUACUGGGCGUAAAGCGCGUUCAGGCGGUUUGGCAAGUCGGGCAUGAAAUCUCUCGGCUCAACCGGGAGAGGUUGUCCGAUACUGCUGGACUUGAGGGCAGUAGAGGGUGGUGGAAUUCCGGGUGUAGUGGUGAAAUGCGUAGAUAUCGGGAGGAACACCAGUGGCGAAAGCGGCCACCUGGACUGCACCUGACGCUGACACGCGAAAGCUAGGGGAGCGAACGGG
Molecule: ribosomal RNA, 253 nt
Filed under: uncultured bacterium
Lineage: Bacteria
Description: partial 16S ribosomal RNA
Rfam family: Bacterial small subunit ribosomal RNA
Source: RNAcentral